UACGAAGGGUGCAAGUGUUACUCGGAAUUACUGGGCGUAAAGCGUGCGUAGGUGGUUCGUUAAGUCUGAUGUGAAAGCCCUGGGCUCAACCUGGGAAUUGCAUUGGAUACUGGCGAGCUAGAGUGCGGUAGAGGAUGGCGGAAUUCCCGGUGUAGCGGUGGAAUGCGCAGAUAUCAGGAGGAACACCAAUGGCGAAGGCAGGUCUCUGGGCCAUAACUGACGCUGAGGAGCGAAAGCAUGGGGAGCGAACAGG
Molecule: ribosomal RNA, 253 nt
Filed under: uncultured bacterium
Lineage: Bacteria
Description: partial 16S ribosomal RNA
Rfam family: Bacterial small subunit ribosomal RNA
Source: RNAcentral